Molecule: long non-coding RNA, 65 nt
Organism: Etheostoma spectabile (orangethroat darter)
Lineage: Eukaryota; Metazoa; Chordata; Actinopteri; Perciformes; Percidae
Exons: 3
Source: RefSeq, a predicted model, not a curated record
UCUGUCUGUCCACAUCCGUCCCAUUGUUGUGGCCGGCGUGUGGCAUUCCAUUUCCCCGUUGUUGC